UUGAACGCUGGCGGAAUGCUUUACACAUGCAAGUCGAGCGGCAGCACGGGGGCAACCCUGGUGGCGAGCGGCGAACGGGUGAGUAAUACAUCGGAACAUGCCCAGUCGUGGGGGAUAACACUUCGAAAGAAGUGCUAAUACCGCAUACGUCCUGAGGGAGAAAGCGGGGGAUCGCAAGACCUCGCGCGAUUGGAGUGGCCGAUGUCAGAUUAGCUAGUUGGUGGGGUAAAGGCCUACCAAGGCAACGAUCUGUAGCUGGUCUGAGAGGAUGAUCAGCCACACUGGGACUGAGACACGGCCCAGACUCCUACGGGAGGCAGCAGUGGGGAAUUUUGGACAAUGGGGGCAACCCUGAUCCAGCCAUUCCGCGUGAGUGAAGAAGGCCUUCGGGUUGUAAAGCUCUUUCGGCAGGAACGAAACGGUGAGCUCUAACAUAGCUCGCUAAUGACGGUACCUGAAGAAGAAGCACCGGCUAACUACGUG
This 483-nucleotide ribosomal RNA is filed under the name uncultured bacterium. RNAcentral describes it as "partial 16S ribosomal RNA". It matches the Rfam family "Bacterial small subunit ribosomal RNA", at positions 30 to 507 of the family's 1533-position model. The record is from RNAcentral.